AGGACACACGCAGUGCUCACUCAUCCUUUGACAGAGAAGCUGCGAAAACUUUUCCUGAAAUGAUCCUCCUCUGCCUUCUGGCUGCAGAAUAUGACUGAUGCCUUUUCUUCCCCAGUGCAAUAGUACAUCUGUGGAGUAGAGAGACUAGGUAACCAGCUGUCAUGUCAGGUUUCCUAAACAUACUUGCAUGUCAUUUCUCACUUGUUCAUCUGUAUUAAAGCAGAGAGCCUCUGCUGCUAGCUCCGUUGCA
This is a non-coding RNA of Lonchura striata (white-rumped munia), 250 nucleotides long. The record is from RefSeq and is a predicted model, not a curated record. NCBI's taxonomy places the organism in Eukaryota, Metazoa, Chordata, Aves, Passeriformes, Estrildidae.